RNAcentral lists this ribosomal RNA (497 nucleotides) under uncultured bacterium. Its description in RNAcentral is "partial 16S ribosomal RNA". It matches the Rfam family "Bacterial small subunit ribosomal RNA", at positions 28 to 507 of the family's 1533-position model. The record is from RNAcentral.
GAUGAACGCUGGCGGCGUGCCUAAUACAUGCAAGUCGAGCGAACAGACGAGGAGCUUGCUCCUCUGACGUUAGCGGCGGACGGGUGAGUAACACGUGGAUAACCUACCUAUAAGACUGGGAUAACUUCGGGAAACCGGAGCUAAUACCGGAUAAUAUAUUGAACCGCAUGGUUCAAUAGUGAAAGACGGUUUUGCUGUCACUUAUAGAUGGAUCCGCGCCGCAUUAGCUAGUUGGUAAGGUAACGGCUUACCAAGGCAACGAUGCGUAGCCGACCUGAGAGGGUGAUCGGCCACACUGGAACUGAGACACGGUCCAGACUCCUACGAGAGGCAGCAGUAGGGAAUCUUCCGCAAUGGGAGAAAGCUUGACGGAGCAACGCCGCGUGAGUGAUGAAGGUCUUCGGAUCGUAAAACUCUGUUAUUAGGGAAGAACAAAUGUGUAAGUAACUAUGCACGUCUUGACGGUACCUAAUCAGAAAGACACGGCUAACUACGUG